GACGAACGCUGGCGGCGUGCUUAACACAUGCAAGUCGAACGGAAAGGCCCUGCUUUUGUGGGGUGCUCGAGUGGCGAAAGGGUGAGUAACACGUGAGUAACCUGCCCUUGACUUUGGGACAAUUCCAGGAAACUGGGGCUAAUACCGGAUAGGAGUUCCUCCUGCACGGAGGGGGUUGGAUAGUUUCGGCGGUUGGGGAUGGACUCGCGGCUAAUCAGCUUGUUGGUGGGGUAGUGGCUUACGAAGGCUUUGACGGGUAGCCGGCCUGCGAGGGUGACCGGCCACAUUGGGACUGAGAUACGGCCCAGACUCCUACGGGAGGCAGCAGUGGGGGAUAUUGCACAAUGGGCGGAAGCCUGAUGCAGCAGCGCCGCGUGCGGGAUGACGGCCUUCGGGUUGUAAACCGCUUUCGCCUGUGACGAAGCGUGAGUGACGGUAAUGGGUAAAGAAGCACCGGCUAACUACGUG
RNAcentral lists this ribosomal RNA (468 nucleotides) under uncultured bacterium. RNAcentral's name for it is "partial 16S ribosomal RNA". It matches the Rfam family "Bacterial small subunit ribosomal RNA", at positions 28 to 507 of the family's 1533-position model. The record is from RNAcentral.